ACAUGUAGGUAUCUUCCCUUUGGCCUGGAAUAACACGAGGAAACUUGUGCUAAUACCGGAUAAGUCUUCACAGAGAAAGCUUUAUGCACCAUUGGAUGAGCCUGCACUUGAUUAGUUUGUUGGUAGGGUAAUGGCCUACCAAGACUGUGAUCAAUAGCUGAUUUGAGAGGAUGAUCAGCCACAUUGGGACUGAGACACGGCCCAAACUCCUACGGGAGGCAGCAGUGGGGAAUCUUGCACAAUGGAGGAAACUCUGAUGCAGCGAUGCCGCGUGAGUGAAGAAGGCCUUUGGGUUGUAAAGCUCUUUCGUCGGGGAAGAAAAUG
RNAcentral lists this ribosomal RNA (324 nucleotides) under uncultured bacterium. RNAcentral describes it as "bacterial SSU rRNA". It matches the Rfam family "Bacterial small subunit ribosomal RNA", at positions 113 to 453 of the family's 1533-position model. The record is from RNAcentral.